Molecule: long non-coding RNA, 3429 nt
Organism: Anas platyrhynchos (mallard)
Lineage: Eukaryota; Metazoa; Chordata; Aves; Anseriformes; Anatidae
Source: RefSeq, a predicted model, not a curated record
AACCUGCCAGGUGUGGGUCAUUUGACCUUUGCUGUAUAGGAAGCCUGAGGACUUGUGGGGGAAUUGCCUCCCCAGGAGAGACUGAGGCUUAGGUAGCCUAGGGUGUUUUUCUCUUGUGGUGACUCGGGCUCAGUGUUCCUUACUAGGCUGCUUUUUCUUCAUGUUUUCUGCCCUCUCUGUGAAAUAGUUUUAGAGACUCAAUGAGCUAGUUACAUUGGUGGUGCCUUCUUCAGAAAAACCCUGGUGGCACUACUUCACUGCGAAGCACUUUGGAAGCGACUUGAGUUCAGAAGACAGCAGGUGGAUUCUAAGCUCCCUUCCAAGCACUGGAGGAAAAAAAAACAAAGCCUCAGAAGCCCAAGUGCACACAGGUCAGCCUGACAUUGAAGAAGGUUCUUGAGUAUUUGGAAGAUUAAAAAAUGGGCUGUGUGAAAAAGGUGCCUUAAUGUGAAUGCAGAUUUUGCCUUGUGGUCAAAAGCAGUAUGAAGAAAGUCUGUCAUCUUCCUUUCAGACCUGUGUCUCAGCUGGGGACUACUUCCUGAACAGGUCCAGCAACUUGAAGAGAACUGAACUUCCUCCCAAGCUCUAUGAAGCAGAGUCUCAGCUAUCAGGGGGAUUCAUCUAUCUGUAAUACCACUCUGUUCAAAGCUGCACACUGGUAUUCUAAAAAGACCUGCAACUCCCUUGAUGAUUGCUACAUCUUGUGGAAAAAUAGCAGGGUGCCUGAUCAAGCCAAUUGAAGACAUAAAUUAUUGGCUUGUAAAGUUUUUGCUGUUGUUUCAUGGAACAGACUUCCUUUCUGAAAUCAAUAUCAGUGUACAGAAGGCAUAAUCUAACUCCCAUUCUGGCAUCCUUGUACUUAUCACUGUCACAGACAAGAUACGGUACCCCACAUCCUGCUCUGCUAAUGUGCGUAUCACCUCACUGACUUCAGAAUGACUUUUUUGGCCAGUACCUGUGGACACUGGGAACCCUGUGAGUCAAUCCAAAAUAAAUCUAGACACAGUCAGCAGUUUCAUAUCUGAACAGUUUGCAUCGUUUGUCACUCAGGCAUACUAUUCUGAAAGUAAAAUAUCUUUAGGCCACUCCUGUGCUGCAUGGCUGCUGCUUGGGCCAGGAUACACAGUGCUGUGAGCACUUCUGCCUCCUCAGCUGAAUUAUUUUGGUAUUUGUUGGUGAUUGUGGAGAUAUCAAUUUGCAUGCUGCUCCUUCUGGAAAGAAAUUAGCCCUGGUGUUGUGCCCUACUGUACAUCCAUAUGUGCAACAUUAACUGCACCCAGAUCCAUCUGCUCAGACCCAUCUUCCUCCAUCUGCCACCAUGCUCCAUGUUAUCCAUAGGACAUUGCAUCAGAAUUAUGAAUCAUCCUCUCUAGGCUCUUGAUAUCUUAUUGUAACAGAUGGGAAUAACAUAUAUUCCAUAAUAAUGAUCCUGGAUAUAUCUGUCCUUUGUUAUAUUAAUGAUUCAAUAAGAAAAGAGCCAACUAGAUGACAUUACUAAAUUACUGACUUUUCAGGCAAAAAGAGCUAAAGUCUAAGUCUGUGUCAGUAGCACAAGAGAAAGUAUACCUCUGAAAUAAUGUAUUUGCUCCUGGUUUGACUGGAAAUCAAUACGUGAGGUACAAUCCAAAUUCUUGUUAGUAUUACUAACAGAGUAAUUCCUAGAGUGCAAAUCUGAAGAGCAACACUAAGAACAAAGAAAUGGGAUGUUCAACAGCUAUGACAUUUUGGUGAUUCACCAGUGAGCAGAGAGAUUUUAAUUUAUUAGUAGCAAAGAACAGGUGAUCCCAUAAUAGAAAAGAAGCAUCUCUCUGCCGCUUAUUUGAUAUGAUGAAAUCUUCACUCCAUGUCAGUUUUUAAAGGAAGUGAAUUGCUUUGUGCUGCACUGUCUGAAUACUGCAGAGUACAGAGCUCCACAAAAAUUAUCCAGGUGCUAGAAAACUGUGCUGCACUUAACAAGGAUUCUGGAACUCAGUACACUUGGUUACCCUAAAAGAAAGCUGAGAAGUUAGUUGGUCAUUUUCUUGGGCAUUAAGUAUGUGACAGCAAGCAGCAAGGAGGCAUCACAGGAGCAGGCGACUAGAAGGUGAAGUUUGACAGUCACAUCUGAAAGAGGCCGGGUUUCCUUUUGACAAAGGUGUUUAAAUAUUGGUGAGUUCCCUACACAGCAGCACCAUCAUAUGAAGUCUCUAAAAGGAUGAAAAACAGCUUCAGAAAUCUAUAAUCUUUUUUUCCAAGAGAAUAUUGUGUUCAAGUCUGCUAAGUAGAUGACCAGGGUAGUCUGUGCUGGCCCUUGAAUCCAUGAAGCCUUUUUGCUUGUCUUGAAUGCAAGGAUUUUCCAGAGUAGCUGUGGGACCUAGGGCUACCCCUCUGCGACAGAAGUAGCACAGCAGCCUGCUAUCUGCUCUGUGCCAUGUGAAGGGGAGAACAGCUUGUGCCUUGGAGAAUUUUCAUUCCUGCUGCUCCUUCAACAUUGCUACUACUACCACUACUGAAGAAAUUCAGCAACCCAACACCAAGGCCAGAAACAAAAUCAAAAAGAACAUGAGGCUGGGUACACGCAGUGAGUGAUCUGUAACUAUGACUAUUCAUAAUAGGAGAUAAAAGGAGAAACAGACUAUUUUAAGCUACAUGGUGUUUUUUUCUCAUACAUUGUAGGCUAUCAUCCAAGGACUAAGGCAUCGAUGCACAGGGGUCUCCAGGCCUCUCACUUCUCUGAGCUUCCAUUUAUCUGGCAGCUGCUGCUUGCCCUUGAGCUAUCAAGGCUUGGCUUAGACUGUUUCCACUGGAUGACUAGUGGUGUGUUCUGGUAUCCAGAUAUGCACACUGAAUAUAGCAAAUGAUUCUCGGUUCUAUUGAGAAGGAACAUUUUUUCAGUCACUUUGCUGAUCUCUUCAUUAUUCAUGGGAUUUUCACAUCAACACCCCAAAACUUUCAAAACAACCACUUACUGUAUGUUUAGUUGGUUUAUAUAACAUUUCAGUGCUGAAAGUGGCAAAGCCAAGCUGCAUUUCACAUAAGCAAAUGAUUUUUGCAGAUGCUUACCCAUCUACCUUUAGAGGAGUUGGACAUUGGCAGAUCCUGAGCAUUGAUCCCAUAUAUAUGUAUUGAUGGCAUCUCCAUAAGAAUUUACAUUCUUAGGUCCUUGCUUCCAUGCAAAUAAAAAACAGCUUGGGAUGAAGUUGGUUUUGAAAACAAGUGUUAAAAUAUGCUUUUGCACUAAGGCUAUGGUAAAAGAUCAGUUAAUUUAUUAGUCUUCAGAAGUAACCAAAGUCAUUCUAACAAUUUAACAGAUUUUCUUUAAAAGCUUAUACUUUUUUCCUGUAAUCUCUUAUUUGCACAAUUCCACAGUGGCUAAUUAAGAUUUACAAGAAAAUCCAGAAAUGAGACAAAUUCUGCAGAUUUAACUGAUAUAACAACCAUAAUCCAUAU